UGAUUUUGGGAUUUGAGAGUGGAGUAUCUAAAGUAGGUCGCAGAGGGGGAGAGAAUAAGGGAUUUGGUGAGUGAGGUGGAUAUGUGUAAGGGAGGAAGUAGUGUGUGUGGAUGUAAAAAAUUUGGGAAGAGGAAUGAGAGGCCGUAGACCAUGGGAAUGAAGUGUCAGAAUAGAGGUGUGGGGGUGUCUCUGUGUAGGGAGAGGGGAUGAGUGGUGUAGCUGUGUGGUGUGAGAGUAUGAGCUGUAUAUAGGUUGGUAUAGCUGCUGUAAAUAUGAUAGUUGGGAAGAGAACAUUACAGGUGUGAGUGUGUUAAGUGUUAGUGCGUGUCUUAUGCAAGGACAUGAUGAUAUUGUGUUGAGUUGGUAGUAUUGGGGGACGCCGAUAUUGGUUGUCGCUACCUAGAAAAAGUAAGUUGAUCGUCGAUAGUGGUGAUGGUCGGGGGACUCCGACGGGAAGGGGUUUGGUCGCUGAUAUUAGUGACGGAAAAGUAUGGUAUUUGUGUGUGUGUGUGGCCUAUUAAGGGUCGAGAGGUAGGCGGAUUAUUGGUGGUCGCCGAUACUGGUGACGGGUCAGAAUAUUGGUACGCUUGGGGUGACGUUGGGAGACGGUCACACAUGGUAUGCAUGAUAUUCAAGAUAUCGGGGUACAUUUUAGUCCUAUGUAGUCCUAUAGUGAUAAUAAGGUAGGACUUAGGUUGGGUGAUAGGGUACAUAUAGAAAUAAUGGGUUUCAUAUUUGUGCAUAUCAUAUUUGUAAACUUAAUUUUAAUUGUACUGAGUUAUAUGAACUCACUCUCUAUUAUUCACAGAUGAUGUAGGAAUGGAGUCGGGAUCGAAGUUGCUGGUUCCCGAGCCUAGCGUAGAGAGCAACAUAAUAAGGAUCUUUAUUAACAGAAUUGAAUGUGUAAAAAUUGGUAGUAGAGUAGAUAGUAUGUCUAUUGAUAGUGUAUAUGGUUGUAUUUCACGUGAUAUUACAUGUAUGGUUGCAUGUCUAUCUUGAUUCUGAACAAUAGAUGGUGAUAGUUUUUCUAUGUGCAUGACUGAUUUGAAACGAAAUUUCUGUAUUUAAUCAUGGAUUUGG
RNAcentral lists this long non-coding RNA (1080 nucleotides) under Carica papaya (papaya). Its description in RNAcentral is "long non-coding RNA (CPAP_LNC005430)". Lineage: Eukaryota; Viridiplantae; Streptophyta; Magnoliopsida; Brassicales; Caricaceae. The record is from RNAcentral.